Molecule: ribosomal RNA, 1170 nt
Filed under: Microbacterium sp.
Lineage: Bacteria; Bacillati; Actinomycetota; Actinomycetes; Micrococcales; Microbacteriaceae
Description: bacterial SSU rRNA
Rfam family: Bacterial small subunit ribosomal RNA
Source: RNAcentral
CUGCAGGGAGCUUACAAUGCAGUCGAACGGUGAAGCCAAGCUUGCUUGGUGGAUCAGUGGCGAACGGGUGAGUAACACGUGAGCAACCUGCCCUGAACUCUGGGAUAAGCGCUGGAAACGGUGUCUAAUACUGGAUAUGAGCUGCGGAGGCAUCUUCGUGGUUGGAAAGAUUUUUCGGUUUGGGAUGGGCUCGCGGCCUAUCAGCUUGUUGGUGAGGUAAUGGCUCACCAAGGCGUCGACGGGUAGCCGGCCUGAGAGGGUGACCGGCCACACUGGGACUGAGACACGGCCCAGACUCCUACGGGAGGCAGCAGUGGGAAUAUUGCACAAUGGGCGGAAGCCUGAUGCAGCAACGCCGCGUGAGGGAUGACGGCCUUCGGGUUGUAAACCUCUUUUAGCAGGGAAGAAGCGUGAGUGACGGUACCUGCAGAAAAAGCGCCGGCUAACUACGUGCCAGCAGCCGCGGUAAUACGUAGGGCGCAAGCGUUAUCCGGAAUUAUUGGGCGUAAAGAGCUCGUAGGCGGUUUGUCGCGUCUGCUGUGAAAACCCGAGGCUCAACCUCGGGCCUGCAGUGGGUACGGGCAGACUAGAGUGCGGUAGGGGAGAUUGGAAUUCCUGGUGUAGCGGUGGAAUGCGCAGAUAUCAGGAGGAACACCGAUGGCGAAGGCAGAUCUCUGGGCCGUAACUGACGCUGAGGAGCGAAAGGGUGGGGAGCAAACAGGCUUAGAUACCCUGGUAGUCCACCCCGUAAACGUUGGGAACUAGUUGUGGGGUCCAUUCCACGGAUUCCGUGACGCAUCUACGCAUUAAGUUCCCCGCCUGGGGAGUACGGCCGCAAGGCUAAAACUCAAGGAAUUGACGGGGACCCGCACAAGCGGCGGAGCAUGCGGAUUAAUUCGAUGCAACGCGAGAACCUUACCAAGGCUUGACAUACACGAGAACGCUGCAGAAUGUAGAACUCUUUGGACACUCGUGAACAGGUGGUGCAUGGUUGUCGUCAGCUCGUGUCGUGAGAUGUUGGGUUUAAGUCCCGCAACGAGCGCAAACCCCUCGUUCUAUGUUGCCAGCACGGUAAAUGGUGGGACUCAUGGGAUACUGCCCGGGGUUCACUCGAGGAAGUUGGGAAUGGACCGUCGAAUCAAUCAUGCCCCAUUAGGUCUCUGGGGCAUC